RNAcentral lists this long non-coding RNA (1141 nucleotides) under Capra hircus (goat). Its description in RNAcentral is "lncRNA (ENSCHIG00010020255.1)". Lineage: Eukaryota; Metazoa; Chordata; Mammalia; Artiodactyla; Bovidae. The record is from RNAcentral.
UAGACCAGAAGAUGACAGGAAAUGGCAGACUAGGGCUAACAUGCUGGAGAGAUUACAGCUGAACAACAGAUCAUCCUCUUUUCCUCAGUGAUGACAGAGUCAGCUGCCAACCAUUUGAUCUGGGAAACAAAGUUGCAAAUUACAUAAUUUGAUCAGGUGAACUCCUCCAGAGUGGUUAACUGAUUGAGAAAUAAGAGAUUGGUUCUGGCCACCAGGAAUUUGGCCACAGAGGGAACCCAGUACGACGGGAGAAUGAAGAAGAGCCAAGGUGUUAGUCGCUCAGUCGUGUCCAACUCUUUGUGACCCCGUGGACUGUAGNNNNNNNNGCUCCUCUGUCGAUGGGAUUCUCCAGGCAAGAAUACUGGAGUGGGUAGCCGUUCCUUCUCCAAGGCAUCUUCCCCACCCAGGGAUCAAACCCAGGCCUCCUGCAUUGCAGGCAGAUUCUUUACUCUCUGAGCCACCAGGAGGCCCCAGUGACAGGAGAAUAGUGGCCAAUCGACCACUACCUACCAGAGGGCGAGCAACAAGACUUUGUGAUGGUGGAGCUGAAGCCAGAAAGAAGACGACUGCCUUUGUGUUUACCUGUGUCACCAGUGAAAUAGCCUCCAGGCCUUUGCAUCACCCUGAUCACACUACAAAGCAGCCUGCAGGGGUUGGGCAGCCACCACAAGAAACUUGCGAAGAAGGAAGAUUCUUAGGCCCCAGCCCAGACCCACCAGAAACGGUUUUAACAACCCCUCCAGAGUUCUGAGGCACCAAGGCUGGAACGCUGACGCACUUCUCGUGGGAAGUCUUCUCCUUCGGAGAGACUGUGGAGGGGCCGGUGGGGCUCCGCCCAGGAGCUGUCCCCAUGACUGAGGCUGCAGAGAACCGAGCAAGAAGCGGCCAGGCCGGGGAAAGGCUCAGCACUGGGCGGCCGCGCAGGGUCGGCCUCCCCACAUGGGGACCGGCGCCUGACCUCUUGUCUUCCGCUGAGGGAGAGAACUGAAGCGAAAACAAGGGCCCCUCUCCUCCUCGCCCCUCUCUCACCUCCGUUUCUCACUCUCAGACUCCCAUCUCCUCCCGCCUGGUCUCCCGGUAACAGCCGCUGGGUCCAGCCCCGCGCAUGGCUGAUGGGGCGCGGGGUGCGGGGAAGCGCACG